UACGAAGGGGGCUAGCGUUGUUCGGAUUUACUGGGCGUAAAGCGCACGUAGGCGGCUUGGUAUGUCGGGUGUGAAAUCCCCGGGCUCAACCUGGGAAUGGCGAUGGAGACUGCAAGGCUAGAGUUUGGCAGAGGGGGGUAGAAUUCCACGUGUAGCAGUGAAAUGCGUAGAUAUGUGGAGGAACACCGAUGGCGAAGGCAGCCCCCUGGGUCAAAACUGACGCUCAUGCACGAAAGCGUGGGGAGCAAACAGG
Molecule: ribosomal RNA, 253 nt
Filed under: uncultured bacterium
Lineage: Bacteria
Description: partial 16S ribosomal RNA
Rfam family: Bacterial small subunit ribosomal RNA
Source: RNAcentral